CAGUCGCCACGGGAAUACGUAGGUGGCAAGCGUUAAUCGGAAUUACUGGGCGUAAAGCGUGCGCAGGCGGUUGUGUAAGACAGGUGUGAAAUCCCCGGGCUUAACCUGGGAACUGCGCUUGUGACUGCACAGCUAGAGUAUGGCAGAGGGGGGUGGAAUUCCACGUGUAGCAGUGAAAUGCGUAGAGAUGUGGAGGAACACCGAUGGCGAAGGCAGCCCCUGGGCCAAUACUGACGCUCAUGCACGAAAGCGUGGGGAGCAAACAGGAUUAGAUACCCCCGUAGUCCCUGUCUCUUAUACA
Molecule: ribosomal RNA, 301 nt
Filed under: uncultured bacterium
Lineage: Bacteria
Description: partial 16S ribosomal RNA
Rfam family: Bacterial small subunit ribosomal RNA
Source: RNAcentral